This 490-nucleotide ribosomal RNA is filed under the name uncultured bacterium. RNAcentral's name for it is "partial 16S ribosomal RNA". It matches the Rfam family "Bacterial small subunit ribosomal RNA", at positions 28 to 507 of the family's 1533-position model. The record is from RNAcentral.
GAUGAACGCUAGCUACAGGCUUAACACAUGCAAGUCGCGGGGCAGCAUGGGGGUUGCUUGCAAUCCCCGAUGGCGACCGGCGCACGGGUGAGUAACGCGUAUCCAACCUGCCCUUCACCACGGGAUAACCCGGCGAAAGUCGGACUAAUACCGUAUGUUGUCCAUUGACGGCAUCCGAUUUGGACGAAAGGUUUGGCGGUGAAGGAUGGGGAUGCGUCCGAUUAGCUGGACGGCGGGGUGACGGCCCACCGUGGCGACGAUCGGUAGGGGUUCUGAGAGGAAGGUCCCCCACACUGGAACUGAGACACGGUCCAGACUCCUACGGGAGGCAGCAGUGAGGAAUAUUGGUCAAUGGGCGUAAGCCUGAACCAGCCAAGUAGCGUGCAGGAAGACGGCCCUAUGGGUUGUAAACUGCUUUUAUGCGGGGAUAAAGUGGCCCACGUGUGGGUUUUUGCAGGUACCGCAUGAAUAAGGACCGGCUAAUUCCGUG